UUGGCGCAUAUCUUUAGAUUAUCAGAAACGCUCUGAAUCUCGAACAGUGUGUUUCAUUUGUCGUUCAGUUAUUUACAAAAUCUUCUGCGACUGGAAACUCUAGCGAAGAUAGCUAUGACUGCGACGUUUCGUUUGUGUUUGAUCUUGGUUUUGUUGGGAGUAAUUGAAGUACUGGGUGCAAGCCAUGCCAAAACCAAGAAGCACAGGACCCAGCUACGUUCUUAUUUCAAACGUCAGCCGCACUUCAUGUGCGGCUCCAUGCUUGGAAGUGGAACAUGUGUGGAUUGGUAUAAGAUCUGUCCUUCCCACUCCUCCGUUGAAUGUAAAGAUCAUCAGGGCUGCCCAGAGGGAGCGCGCUGUUGCUGCCCUGGCCAUGGCAAACGAUAAAUCUUUUUGAUGAUGAAAAUGAUGCCUAGGUGCAUGUGGCUUUCCAGCCAUAGCGACAAAAUGACGAGUAAAGUGAACAUAGCAAUAGACUUCCUAGAUGGAAAUCACUUUUCGAUUGUAAAAAAAGGGAAAGAACCCAUCAAACAACUAGUGAUAAAAAUAAAACCAUCAUCAUUUUAUAUAAAA
Molecule: long non-coding RNA, 573 nt
Organism: Stylophora pistillata
Lineage: Eukaryota; Metazoa; Cnidaria; Anthozoa; Scleractinia; Pocilloporidae
Source: RefSeq, a predicted model, not a curated record